CAGCCGCCGCGGGAAUACGAAGGGGGCUAGCGUUGUUCGGAUUUACUGGGCGUAAAGCGCACGUAGGCGGAUCGUUAAGUCGGGGGUGAAAUCCUGGAGCUCAACUCCAGAACUGCCUUCGAUACUGGCGAUCUUGAGUCCGGAAGAGGUGAGUGGAACUCCUAGUGUAGAGGUGGAAUUCGUAGAUAUUAGGAAGAACACCAGUGGCGAAGGCGGCUCACUGGUCCGGUACUGACGCUGAGGUGCGAAAGCGUGGAGAGCAAACAGGAUUAGAUACCCCCGUAGUCCCUGUCUCUUAUAC
This 301-nucleotide ribosomal RNA is filed under the name uncultured bacterium. RNAcentral describes it as "partial 16S ribosomal RNA". It matches the Rfam family "Bacterial small subunit ribosomal RNA", at positions 509 to 807 of the family's 1533-position model. The record is from RNAcentral.